RNAcentral lists this long non-coding RNA (308 nucleotides) under Brachypodium distachyon (stiff brome). RNAcentral's name for it is "long non-coding RNA (BDIS_LNC003964)". Lineage: Eukaryota; Viridiplantae; Streptophyta; Magnoliopsida; Poales; Poaceae. The record is from RNAcentral.
UCAAUAUGGGUCAGUCCGACUCGCUAAACUCUUUAGCCGAGUCCGUGUAAGCUGGAAUGACAUCACCAUGCCCAUGACAAGUGGAACCGAGUCAUCAGCCAACUUUCACAUUAGUCUAGGUUAUGUGUCCAACACAACCUCAAUGACUAAGGACAAUUUAGUAUGAACAACAUGAAUACAUAGUUCCACAAUCAAAUCACAUAUUCAAUGAUACAUAUCAGAUGUUCAAACAAGGACAACUUAAUAAUAUUUAUGAAUACAUUGGGAAUUACAUCAUACAUGAUUGCCUCUAGGGCAUAUUCCCAACA